UGGAAGUUUCCGUUUCAAAGCUAAAGGGGCCAGUCGAGUGGAAAGCCGCGAAGAGUCCAGCGUAUUACAAACGUGUGGAUUUUGUUCAUGGUUUGAAGGUGGAUGGUAUGUAUGCCCUCGCUGUGAAGCAAGCUUGCAAGUUUGCUAAAGAACAUGCCUUGAAGAGUGGACCAAUAAUUCUUGAAAUGGACAUACACUUGUAGGUAUCAUGGUCGCUCCAUGUUUGAUCUUGGAAGUACCUAUAUAACACGUGAUGAGAUUAGUGGUGUUAGGCAUGAGCGUGAUCCAAUUGAAAGAAUUAGGAAGUUGAUAUUAUCCCAUAACCUAGCUUCUGAGAAAGAGUUGAAGGACAUCGAGAAGGAAGUGAUAAAAGAGGUGGACGAUGCAAUCACUCGAACAAAGGAAAGUCCAAUGCAUAAGCCUUCAAAGCUCUUC
Long non-coding RNA from Hibiscus syriacus, 435 nucleotides. RefSeq lists it as uncharacterized. The record is from RefSeq and is a predicted model, not a curated record. NCBI's taxonomy places the organism in Eukaryota, Viridiplantae, Streptophyta, Magnoliopsida, Malvales, Malvaceae. The transcript has 3 exons.